This 439-nucleotide ribosomal RNA is filed under the name uncultured bacterium. Its description in RNAcentral is "bacterial SSU rRNA". It matches the Rfam family "Bacterial small subunit ribosomal RNA", at positions 8 to 449 of the family's 1533-position model. The record is from RNAcentral.
AGAGUUUGAUCCUGGCUCAGAUUGAACGCUGGCGGCAUGCCUUACACAUGCAAGUCGAACGGCAGCACGGGGGCAACCCUGGUGGCGAGUGGCGAACGGGUGAGUAAUACAUCGGAACGUGUCCUGUAGUGGGGGAUAGCCCGGCGAAAGCCGGAUUAAUACCGCAUACGAUCUACGGAAGAAAGCGGGGGAUCGCAAGACCUCGCGCUAUAGGGGCGGCCGAUGGCAGAUUAGCUAGUUGGUGGGGUAAAGGCCUACCAAGGCGACGAUCUGUAGCUGGUCUGAGAGGACGACCGGCCACACUGGGACUGAGACACGGCCCAGACUCCUACGGGAGGCAGCAGUGGGGAAUUUUGGACAAUGGGGGAAACCCUGAUCCAGCAAUGCCGCGUGUGUGAAGAAGGCCUUCGGGUUGUAAAGCACUUUUGUCCGGAAAGAA